AGUUAUCCAGCUUGAGGUAUGAAAUGUCGGCUUUUAUUAUUUUUAUCCUUUAUCAUCACAUAGCUGAUUAGAUCUACUCCAAGUGUUGCUUUUGUAGUGUUGUUUAGAUUGCUCUAGAAGUUUUCCUUAUGAUUGCUACGCGAGUAUCGGCUGUCUUAUAGCUGGUGAUCUCUACAGUAAAUCGGCCGACUUGCUGAUACGCUCUGGCGCGUCGCGCUAAC
Molecule: long non-coding RNA, 221 nt
Filed under: Setaria italica (foxtail millet)
Lineage: Eukaryota; Viridiplantae; Streptophyta; Magnoliopsida; Poales; Poaceae
Description: long non-coding RNA (SITA_LNC004450)
Source: RNAcentral